AUUGAACGCUGGCGGCAUGCCUUACACAUGCAAGUCGAACGGUAACAGGUCUUCGGAUGCUGACGAGUGGCGAACGGGUGAGUAAUACAUCGGAACGUGCCUAGUAGUGGGGGAUAACUACUCGAAAGAGUGGCUAAUACCGCAUGAGAUCUACGGAUGAAAGCAGGGGAUCGCAAGACCUUGUGCUACUAGAGCGGCCGAUGGCAGAUUAGGUAGUUGGUGGGAUAAAAGCUUACCAAGCCGACGAUCUGUAGCUGGUCUGAGAGGACGAUCAGCCAAACUGGGACUGCGACACGGCCCAGACGCCUACGGGAGGCAGCAGUGGGGAAUUUUGGACAAUGGGCGAAAGCCUGAUCCAGCAAUGCCGCGUGCAGGAUGAAGGCUUUCGGGUUGUAAACUGCUUUUGUACGGAACGAAAAGCCCUGGGUUAAUACCCUGGGGUCAUGACGGUACCGUAAGAAUAAGCACCGGCUAACUACGUGCCAGCAGCCGCAGUAA
This 498-nucleotide ribosomal RNA is filed under the name uncultured bacterium. RNAcentral's name for it is "partial 16S ribosomal RNA". It matches the Rfam family "Bacterial small subunit ribosomal RNA", at positions 30 to 523 of the family's 1533-position model. The record is from RNAcentral.